This 443-nucleotide ribosomal RNA is filed under the name uncultured bacterium. RNAcentral's name for it is "partial 16S ribosomal RNA". It matches the Rfam family "Bacterial small subunit ribosomal RNA", at positions 338 to 795 of the family's 1533-position model. The record is from RNAcentral.
CCUACGGGGUGCUGCAGUGGGGAAUAUUGGGCAAUGGGCGCAAGCCUGACCCAGCAACGCCGCGUGAAGGAAGAAGGCUUUCGGGUUGUAAACUUCUUUUCUCAGGGACGAAGAAAGUGACGGUACCUGAGGAAUAAGCCACGGCUAACUACGUGCCCGCAGCCGCGGUAAUACGUAGGUGGCAAGCGUUAUCCGGAUUUACUGGGUGUAAAGGGCGUGUAGGCGGGAAAGCAAGUCAGAUGUGAAAACCAUGGGCUCAACCUGUGGCCUGCAUUUGAAACUGUUUUUCUUGAGUACUGGAGAGGCAGGCGGAAUGCCUGGUGUAGCGGUGAAAUGCGUAGAUAUUAGGAGGAACACCAGUUGCGAAGGCGGCCUGCUGGACGACAACUGACGGUGAGGCGCGAAAGCGUGGGGAGCAAACAGGAUUAGAUACCCCGGUAGUA